This is a small nucleolar RNA of Gossypium raimondii (Peruvian cotton), 107 nucleotides long. It matches the Rfam family "Plant small nucleolar RNA R71". Rfam says of the family: R71 is a member of the C/D box family of snoRNAs containing the C (UGAUGA) and D (CUGA) box motifs. Lineage: Eukaryota; Viridiplantae; Streptophyta; Magnoliopsida; Malvales; Malvaceae. The record is from Rfam.
AUCCCACGGUGAGGGCAAUUCCUUAAUAAUUCCUUAAAUCGCUCCCAAGCCUCAUAUAAGGAUUUGUCAUGAAGUUGCUACAAUGUAGUAAUCUCAUUUCAAAGGUU